CCGCACUGCCGAGGGUCUCCUGGUCCCUUCUAAUGACCUCGGAGACUCAUUAUUCAGUGCCAGAUUAACCCCUUCCUGCAGAAUGGCCGGGCCGUCCCGUGACCCGUUCAUUCCGAAGGUUGGGUACAAGA
Molecule: small nucleolar RNA, 131 nt
Organism: Bufo bufo (common toad)
Lineage: Eukaryota; Metazoa; Chordata; Amphibia; Anura; Bufonidae
Source: RefSeq, a predicted model, not a curated record